Molecule: ribosomal RNA, 468 nt
Filed under: uncultured bacterium
Lineage: Bacteria
Description: partial 16S ribosomal RNA
Rfam family: Bacterial small subunit ribosomal RNA
Source: RNAcentral
GACGAACGCUGGCGGCGUGCUUAACACAUGCAAGUCGAACGGAAAGGCCCUGCUUUUGUGGGGUGCUCGAGUGGCGAACGGGUGAGUAACACGUGAGUAACCUGCCCUUGACUUUGGGAUAACUUCAGGAAACUGGGGCUAAUACCGGAUAGGAGUUCAUGCUGCAUGGUGGGGGUUGGAAAGUUUCGGCGGUUGGGGCUGGAGUCGCGGCUUAUCAGCUUGUUGGUGGGGUAGUGGCUUACCACGGCUUUGACGGGUAGCCGGCCUGAGAGGGUGAACGGCCACAUUGGGACUGAGAUACGGCCCAGACUCCUACGGGAGGCAGCAGUGGGGAAUAUUGCACAAUGGGCGGAAGCCUGAUGCAGCAACGCCGCGUGCGGGAUGACGGCCUUCGGGUUGUAAACCGCUUUCGCCUGUGACGAAGCGUGAGUGACGGUAAUGGGUAAAGAAGCACCGGCUAACUACGUG